Molecule: small RNA, 418 nt
Filed under: Oryza sativa Japonica Group (Japanese rice)
Lineage: Eukaryota; Viridiplantae; Streptophyta; Magnoliopsida; Poales; Poaceae
Description: sRNA Os04g0408801
Source: RNAcentral
ACAAAACCAAAAGAAGGGCUCAAUUUGCAGUGCUGUUCAACAGAUUGCUCAAAUAAGGCGUCUAAUACAAAUGUAAACCACUUAGGACAAAGCUUCUACAUAACAUAGUUACUGUAAACACUGCCGCUCCAGCUGAUAAUUCUUAUCAUGCAAAAGAAGCUCAGGAUAAAAUCAGUAACAUUGGUAAACUGACGAAUCUCUUCACUCUCCGGGUGCAGAAACCCCCUGCUUCAGCUUUUCCCUCUUCAGCUUCUUCUUGGAGACUGGCUUCUUCUUCCGAGGAGGAAGCGUCUUCUGAGCAUACAUGUAGAGCGCAUAGUUUCCAACAAAGAAAAGAAUCAGGAGAGUUGCAACCACAAGAAGGACUAUCGUUCCAGGGUUCAGGCCCUUGUUGACCUCCUCGAUGAUCAUGUUGUUC